UCCUUGUUAGUUCAGUUGGUAAGGAGUCUGCCUGCAAGGUAGGAUACCCUGGUUCAAUUCCUGGAUCAGGAA
RNAcentral lists this transfer RNA (72 nucleotides) under Bos taurus (domestic cattle). It matches the Rfam family "tRNA". Rfam says of the family: Transfer RNA (tRNA) molecules are approximately 80 nucleotides in length. The record is from Rfam by way of RNAcentral. Lineage: Eukaryota; Metazoa; Chordata; Mammalia; Artiodactyla; Bovidae. RNAcentral also lists the same sequence under 2 other names.